CCUACGGGAGGCAGCAGUGAGGAAUAUUGGUCAAUGGACGAGAGUCUGAACCAGCCAAGUCGCGUGAAGGAUGACUGCCCUAUGGGUUGUAAACUUCUUUUAUAUGGGAAUAAAAUGUUCCACGUGUGGGCUUUUGUAUGUACCAUAUGAAUAAGGAUCGGCUAACUCCGUGCCAGCAGCCGCGGUAAUACGGAGGAUCCGAGCGUUAUCCGGAUUUAUUGGGUUUAAAGGGUGCGUAGGUGGAUUGUUAAGUCAGUGGUGAAAGUUCGCGGCUCAACCGUGAAAUUGCCGUUGAAACUGGCAGUCUUGAGUACAGUAGAGGUGGGCGGAAUGCGUGGUGUAGCGGUGAAAUGCUUAGAUAUCACGCAGAACUCCGAUUGCGAAGGCAGCUUACCGGACUGCAACUGACACUGAGGCACGAAAGUGUGGGUAUCAAACAGGAUUAGAUACCCGGGUAGUC
This 460-nucleotide ribosomal RNA is filed under the name uncultured bacterium. RNAcentral describes it as "partial 16S ribosomal RNA". It matches the Rfam family "Bacterial small subunit ribosomal RNA", at positions 338 to 795 of the family's 1533-position model. The record is from RNAcentral.